GAUGGUAUAGCUCAAGUGGCAGAGUGCAUGCUUAGCAUGCACAAGGUCCUGGGUUCAAUCCCCAGUACCUCCU
Molecule: transfer RNA, 73 nt
Filed under: Camelus ferus (Wild Bactrian camel)
Lineage: Eukaryota; Metazoa; Chordata; Mammalia; Artiodactyla; Camelidae
Rfam family: tRNA
About the family: Transfer RNA (tRNA) molecules are approximately 80 nucleotides in length. Their secondary structure includes four short double-helical elements and three loops (D, anti-codon, and T loops). Further hydrogen bonds mediate the characteristic L-shaped molecular structure. tRNAs have two regions of fundamental functional importance: the anti-codon, which is responsible for specific mRNA codon recognition, and the 3' end, to which the tRNAs corresponding amino acid is attached (by aminoacyl-tRNA synthetases). tRNAs cope with the degeneracy of the genetic code in two manners: having more than one tRNA (with a specific anti-codon) for a particular amino acid; and 'wobble' base-pairing, i.e. permitting non-standard base-pairing at the 3rd anti-codon position.
Source: Rfam by way of RNAcentral